GGUUAAGCGACUAAGCGUACACGGUGGAUGCCCCGGCAGUCAGAGGCGAUGAAGGGCGUGCUAAUCUGCGAUAAGCGCCGGUAAGGUGAUAUGAACCGUUAUAACCGGCGAUACCCGAAUGGGGAAACCCAGUGUGAUUCGUCACACUAUCAUUAACUGAAUCCAUAGGUUAAUGAGGCGAACCGGGGGAACUGAAACAUCUAAGUACCCCGAGGAAAAGAAAUCAACCGAGAUUCCCCCAGUAGCGGCGAGCGAACGGGGAGGAGCCCAGAGCCUGAAUCAGCAUGUGUGUUAGUGGAAGCGUCUGGAAAGGCGCGCGAUACAGGGUGACAGCCCCGUACACAAAAGCGCAUGUGCUGUGAGCUCGAUGAGUAGGGCGGGACACGUGGUAUCCUGUCUGAAUAUGGGGGGACCAUCCUCCAAGGCUAAAUACUCCUGACUGACCGAUAGUGAACCAGUACCGUGAGGGAAAGGCGAAAAGAACCCCGGCGAGGGGAGUGAAAAAGAACCUGAAACCGUGUACGUACAAGCAGUGGGAGCACCCUUCGGGGUGUGACUGCGUACCUUUUGUAUAAUGGGUCAGCGACUUAUAUUCUGUAGCAAGGUUAACCGUAUAGGGGAGCCGGAGGGAAACCGAGUCUUAACCGGGCGUUAAGUUGCAGGGUAUAGACCCGAAACCCGGUGAUCUAGCCAUGGGCAGGUUGAAGGUUGGGUAACACUAACUGGAGGACCGAACCGACUAAUGUUGAAAAAUUAGCGGAUGACCUGUGGCUGGGGGUGAAAGGCCAAUCAAACCGGGAGAUAGCUGGUUCUCCCCGAAAGCUAUUUAGGUAGCGCCUCGUGAAUUCAUCUCCGGGGGUAGAGCACUGUUUCGGCUAGGGGGCCAUCCCGGCUUACCAACCCGAUGCAAACUGCGAAUACCGGAGAAUGUUAUCACGGGAGACACACGGCGGGUGCUAACGUCCGUCGUGAAGAGGGAAACAACCCAGACCGCCAGCUAAGGUCCCAAAGUCAUGGUUAAGUGGGAAACGAUGUGGGAAGGCCCAGACAGCCGGGAUGUUGGCUUAGAAGCAGCCAUCAUUUAAAGAAAGCGUAAUAGCUCACUGGUCGAGUCGGCCUGCGCGGAAGAUGUAACGGGGCUAAACCAUGCACCGAAGCUGCGGCAGCGAACGUAUCACCCAAGACAACUUUACGGAGUUGACGAUUGACGGAGCGAAGCGACGUCAAAGCGUUCAUUAAAGUCGAGUUGGCUUAGGGAUACGUUCGUUGGGUAGGGGAGCGUUCUGUAAGCCUGUGAAGGUGUGUCGUGAGGCAUGCUGGAGGUAUCAGAAGUGCGAAUGCUGACAUAAGUAACGAUAAAGCGGGUGAAAAGCCCGCUCGCCGGAAGACCAAGGGUUCCUGUCCAACGUUAAUCGGGGCAGGGUGAGUCGACCCCUAAGGCGAGGCCGAAAGGCGUAGUCGAUGGGAAACGGGUUAAUAUUCCCGUACUUGGUGUUACUGCGAAGGGGGGACGGAGAAGGCUAUGUUGGCCGGGCGACGGUUGUCCCGGUUUAAGCGUGUAGGUGUGUGUUCGGGUAAAUCCGGUUCACUUUAACACUGAGGCGUGACGACGAGGCACUACGGUGCUGAAGCAACAAAUGCCCUGCUUCCGGGAAAAGCCUCUAAGCAUCAGGUAACAUCAAAUCGUACCCCAAACCGACACAGGUGGUCAGGUAGAGAAUACCAAGGCGCUUGAGAGAACUCGGGUGAAGGAACUAGGCAAAAUGGUGCCGUAACUUCGGGAGAAGGCACGCUGACACGUAGGUGAAGUGAUUUACUCAUGGAGCUGAAGUCAGUCGAAGAUACCAGCUGGCUGCAACUGUUUAUUAAAAACACAGCACUGUGCAAACACGAAAGUGGACGUAUACGGUGUGACGCCUGCCCGGUGCCGGAAGGUUAAUUGAUGGGGUCAGCGCAAGCGAAGCUCCUGAUCGAAGCCCCGGUAAACGGCGGCCGUAACUAUAACGGUCCUAAGGUAGCGAAAUUCCUUGUCGGGUAAGUUCCGACCUGCACGAAUGGCGUAAUGAUGGCGGGCUGUCUCCACCCGAGACUCAGUGAAAUUGAACUCGCUGUGAAGAUGCAGUGUACCCGCGGCAAGACGGAAAGACCCCGUGAACCUUUACUAUAGCUUGACACUGAACAUUGAGCCUUGAUGUGUAGGAUAGGUGGGAGGCUUUGAAGUGUGGACGCCAGUCUGCAUGGAGCCGACCUUGAAAUACCACCCUUUAAUGUUUGAUGUUCUAACGUGGACCCGUAAUCCGGGUUGCGGACAGUGUCUGGUGGGUAGUUUGACUGGGGCGGUCUCCUCCUAAAGAGUAACGGAGGAGCACGAAGGUUGGCUAAUCCUGGUCGGACAUCAGGAGGUUAGUGCAAUGGCAUAAGCCAGCUUGACUGCGAGCGUGACGGCGCGAGCAGGUGCGAAAGCAGGUCAUAGUGAUCCGGUGGUUCUGAAUGGAAGGGCCAUCGCUCAACGGAUAAAAGGUACUCCGGGGAUAACAGGCUGAUACCGCCCAAGAGUUCAUAUCGACGGCGGUGUUUGGCACCUCGAUGUCGGCUCAUCACAUCCUGGGGCUGAAGUAGGUCCCAAGGGUAUGGCUGUUCGCCAUUUAAAGUGGUACGCGAGCUGGGUUUAGAACGUCGUGAGACAGUUCGGUCCCUAUCUGCCGUGGGCGCUGGAGAACUGAGGGGGGCUGCUCCUAGUACGAGAGGACCGGAGUGGACGCAUCACUGGUGUUCGGGUUGUCAUGCCAAUGGCACUGCCCGGUAGCUAAAUGCGGAAGAGAUAAGUGCUGAAAGCAUCUAAGCACGAAACUUGCCCCGAGAUGAGUUCUCCCUGAGACUUUAGGUCUCCUGAAGGAACGUUGAAGACGACGACGUUGAUAGGCCGGGUGUGUAAGCGCAGCGAUGCGUUGAGCUAACCGGUACUAAUGAACCGUGAGGCUUAACCUU
This 2988-nucleotide ribosomal RNA is filed under the name Salmonella enterica subsp. enterica serovar Typhimurium. RNAcentral's name for it is "23S ribosomal RNA". It matches the Rfam family "Bacterial large subunit ribosomal RNA". Lineage: Bacteria; Pseudomonadati; Pseudomonadota; Gammaproteobacteria; Enterobacterales; Enterobacteriaceae. The record is from RNAcentral.